RNAcentral lists this ribosomal RNA (253 nucleotides) under uncultured bacterium. RNAcentral describes it as "partial 16S ribosomal RNA". It matches the Rfam family "Bacterial small subunit ribosomal RNA", at positions 524 to 776 of the family's 1533-position model. The record is from RNAcentral.
UACAGAGGUCUCAAGCGUUGUUCGGAUUCAUUGGGCGUAAAGGGUGUGUAGGCGGCGCGCUAAGUCGGGUGUGAAAUUUCGGAGCUUAACUCCGAAACUGCAUUCGAUACUGGCGUGCUUGAGGACUGGAGAGGAGACUGGAAUUCAUGGUGUAGCAGUGAAAUGCGUAGAGAUCAUGAGGAAGACCAGUGGCGAAGGCGGGUCUCUGGACAGUUACUGACGCUGAGACACGAAGGCCAGGGGAGCAAACAGG